This 90-nucleotide transfer RNA is filed under the name Verrucomicrobiota bacterium. RNAcentral describes it as "Verrucomicrobia bacterium (anaerobic digester metagenome) tRNA-Ser". It matches the Rfam family "tRNA". Rfam says of the family: Transfer RNA (tRNA) molecules are approximately 80 nucleotides in length. Their secondary structure includes four short double-helical elements and three loops (D, anti-codon, and T loops). The record is from RNAcentral. Lineage: Bacteria; Pseudomonadati; Verrucomicrobiota.
GGAGAGGUGGCAGAGUGGUCUAUUGCGGCGGUCUUGAAAACCGCUUCGGCUUGACGGCCGACGGGGGUUCGAAUCCCUCCCUCUCCGCCA